UAGGGCUCAUUGUAUCAUGGUUAGUAUCAAGAGUUAUAUUUUUCUCCCGUGCUUUCUCACAUGGUAUCAGAGCUUCAGUGAGAAUAUUAUAGCUGUGCGUCAUUCCAGCUACUUCCGGGAAGAAAGACCUCGUCGCCGUGCAAUUUUCCGGCGACUUAAGAGGCUGCCCGAACUAAACCACCUUUUUUGUUGGUGUUGUGCAAAAUCCAAGACCACCACGAGGUUCGGAAGAGAAUUCCGACCAAACCCCAGAAAUUUCUCCGGCCAAUUCUUUCACACGCGCCGCCAGAGCUCUCGGCGCGUCAGACCACGCGCCAGCGCGUGAAGUACUUUCCGGCCAAUUUUUCACUUUGCUCCUUCAGGACAGUUUGGUCGGCUCUCAAUUCCGACCCUACCCAUACUUUUUUCGUUCGAUUCCGACAACUUUCAAUUUUUUCCGGCGACUUCUUUUUUGUUGGUGUUGUGCAAAAUCCAAGACCACCACGAGGUUCGGAAGAGAAUUCCGACCAAACCCCAGAAAUUUCUCCGGCCAAUUCUUUCACACGCGCCGCCAGAGCUCUCGG
Molecule: long non-coding RNA, 563 nt
Filed under: Nicotiana benthamiana
Lineage: Eukaryota; Viridiplantae; Streptophyta; Magnoliopsida; Solanales; Solanaceae
Description: long non-coding RNA (NBEN_LNC030476)
Source: RNAcentral